GCCUGUCUCAGAUGGGCCUGAACCCCAAAAGCCCAGGGACCUAUUUUCCCCCCUCCAGCACAGCAGCUGGUCCUGAUGGAAGCAGGGCACCGGAUUGUCCACACUGAUGGGGAAGCGUCACAGAACCCGUGUUUUCCGGGCCCUUCAGCGCACACAACAGCCUCUCCCGCUCCGUUGGAUGCCAGAACCUAGUCAAUUCUUUCUGGUGUGUUUUCAAUUUAGAGCCUCCCCCUUCUUCCUGGCCACGGCCCCUCACAGAUCCUCGGGCUGUGUACCUCUCCUGUUACUGCUGACGUCUGCAGCUGCUCCUCCGCGGGUGCGGGUUUCCAGGUCCCCAGGCCUGCUGAGGCGUAGUUCCAACUGAGGUCGAGUGUGCCGACAGUGCCACCUGCUGUCCUUACUCAAGCUGUGCAGGCUUCCAUUGUCCCAGAUCCCACACAGCUUUGGCCAGAGGAUUCAGCGAGGUCUCUGUACUGUCCGGUAACCCCGUGGCUAGCUCACUUUUCUUCCAGACCUCUGCCGGUCGUGCUUACAUUCUGGAUUUCUCUCUGGCCACGGGUCUUUUGGGAUGCAGCCUGCUGCGCAGAGCACCUCCGGCUCGCUCUCCUUCAGGUCUCUGUCCCUUUGUCAAUCUUCAGGGUGAGGCUCCAGCAUCACUCCCGAGGGCGCUGUCAGCUGUCUUUGGCUCUUUGGAUGAAGUGCAAUCCUGGAGGCUCUGGAAGAAGGACCAAAAGCAUUUUCAAGGGACAAAUGAUGCCUUCCUAUUGGCGGCUCGCUCUGUGACCUUUCUGAGAGAGAUGCAAACUUGCUCAGCAUGAUGGUUGACCUUUUAGUGAGAGUUCUCUAGUUUUCUUUUGUCUUAAUCCGUUGCUGUAGAUGGUCCAGAGAGGAAUCCUCUCCUUUAUUCUCUCUUUGCCAAGGACAGCUCCCAGCUUCUUUGUAUCCAGGAAAAUGUCGUUCUUCUAGUCACAGAAGGCCUGACCCCAGCAUCCUUCAGUAGCUCAGGGAACAGAAACUAGAUUGGAAUCCAGGCUGUUACCUCAGUGUGGGGUCACCUAAAUGCCCUGUGCCUUGAGUCCUCAUUUGCCAGAUUAGACAGCGGCCACUUCCUUUCAAGGUCGUGUGGAGGACAGUUGGAAGGGAAGCAUCAUUCCCUCUUUUGGCCCUGGAUCACCGAGCAUCUGAGGAUCUGGCUAGCUGACGGUCAGCCAGCUGUGCACUCUAGCAUCCAAGAGACAAGAGACACGGAAAGGGAAACUGAAAUCGGACAGGAGGAAGUGGCUAUGCCCUGAGCGUGAGCCCCACCCUGGGCUGCAAGUCCAGCCUCACCCCGGUCUCCAGAUUCCAGUAGUGCUGGGGACCUGCUCCGAGCUCUAGCAUGAUAUAUAAGCUACAUAUUUUCCUUUGGUACUGGCACCACCUCCCUGUGACCUUAGUUCUUUCUCUAUUCUAGUCUCAUCUCCUACAGACUCCAGGCCCCACCUCAGCCAGCUCUAAGUCAGGACACAAAGUGUAACAGUUACUCCGGAAUAUGGCCUGAUGGUUGUUUCGUUUAAUCUGGAUUUUCUUUUAUCCUGAAACCUCUAAUACAACAUUGUCAUAGGGAGGGGGCUGGAGAGAUGACUCAGCAGUUCAAAGCACUGGCUAGUCUUCCAGAGGACCCGGGUUCAAUUCCCAGUCUCCAUGCAGCAGCCCACACCUGCCCACAGCUCCAGUUCCGAGGGAAUCUGACACCCACACCCACACGUACACGCAGGCAAAACACCAGUGCACAUAAAAAUAAAUAAAAUUUAAAAAUUAAAAAAAGAAAGAUUGCCAUCGGGGACCGCCCAGCGCAGUUAAGUUUUGAGACAUCUCUGGGGUGAGUUUUCACACAGACAUCUGUGUAGACCCAGUGCCUUUCCUUCUCUGUUCUCUUGCUUUUCAAGGAUUCAGUGGUUCAGUGACUCGGGAUCAGCUGUGAUCUGAAAAUUAUUAAAUGAAAAAUCCCAGAAAUGACAUGACUCUGAAGGAUUCCUUAAAAUUUAUUUAUUUUUAUUUAUUUAUUUAUUUUUUUAAAAGAUUUAUUUAUUAUUAUAUGUAAGUACACUGUAGCUGUCUUCAGACACACCAGAAGGGGGCAUCAGAGAUCAUUACGGGUGGUUGUGAGUCACCAUGUGGUUGCUGGGAUUUGAACUCAGGACCUUUGGAAGAGCAGUCGGUGCUCUUAACUGCUGAGCCAUCUCUCCAGCCCCUAAAAUUUAUUUUUUUAAAUACUUAUUUAUAUAUUAUGUGAGUGGGAGUUUUGUCUGCGUGUGUGCAUUUGUACAUUAGGUGCAUGCCUGGUGCCCACAGAGGCCGGAAGAAGGCACCCGAUCCCAUGGAACUGAAGUUACAGGCGGUUGUGAGCUACCGUGUGGAUGCUGGAAACUGAACCCAAAUCCUUUGUAUGAACGACUAGUGAUGGGUUUUGUUUCUUGUUUUUGGUUUUUCGAGACAGGGUUUCUCUGUGUAGCCCUGGCUGUCCUGGAACUCACUCUGUAGCCCAGACUGGCCUCGAGCUCAGAAAUCCACCUGCCUCUGCCUCCCAAGUGCUGGGAUUAAAGGCGUGUGCCACCACUGCCCGGCUUUAAUUUUUUUUUUAAAGAUUUAUUUUUAUUUUAUGUAUGUGAGUACACUGUAGCUUUCUUCAGACACACCAGAAGAGGGCAUCAGAUCCCAUUGCAGUUGGUUGUGAGCCACCAUGUGGUUGCUGGGAUUUGAACUCAGGACUUCUGGAAGAGCAGACAGUGCUCUUAACCGCUGAGCCAUCUCUCCAGUUCCCUCGGCAUCUAUUUUUCAAUGAUAUUUUGAUUUUUCUCCUGGUAGAAACAGAGCGGCAUCACCUUUGACACAGUUUCCAGUUCUGUGUUUCACAGGAAACAUGCUUGCUUGUGUUACUCUGUGAACCAAAUAAAGUGUAGACUUGUGGGUCCUGCUAUCUCCUUCAGCCUAAGCUUCUCUCUCUCUCUCUUUCUCUCUCUCCCUCUCCCCCCCUCUCUGUCUCUCCCUCUCCCUCUCCCUCUCCCUCUCCCUUUCUCUCUCCCUCUCCCCCACCCCCAUAUCCACCAGGCAUGCAGGGUACCCCCUGGGACCUGCAGACACCACAGACCUUUCUAUUUCAGCUGUGCCACUGAAGCUGUGCUGCCCUGUAACCCCUGACAGCAAGGCCGCGUCAAAGGGACCCAUUGAGGGGGAUCUCUGCAG
This 3225-nucleotide long non-coding RNA is filed under the name Mus musculus (house mouse). RNAcentral describes it as "long non-coding RNA chr15:77358472-77361697". The record is from RNAcentral. Lineage: Eukaryota; Metazoa; Chordata; Mammalia; Rodentia; Muridae.